Molecule: ribosomal RNA, 253 nt
Filed under: uncultured bacterium
Lineage: Bacteria
Description: partial 16S ribosomal RNA
Rfam family: Bacterial small subunit ribosomal RNA
Source: RNAcentral
UACGGGGGGGGCAAGCGUUGUUCGGAAUUACUGGGCGUAAAGGGCUUGUAGGUGGCCAACUAAGUCAGACGUGAAAUCCCUCGGCUUAACCGGGGAACUGCGUCUGAUACUGGAUGGCUUGAGUGUGGGAGAGGGAUGCGGAAUUCCAGGUGUAGCGGUGAAAUGCGUAGAUAUCGAGAGGAACGCCUGCGGCGAAGGCGGGUUGCUGGGCUGAUACUGACGCUGAGGCGCGAAAGCCAGGGGAGCGAACGGG